Triticum aestivum (bread wheat) is the source of this 1953-nucleotide long non-coding RNA. RefSeq lists it as uncharacterized. The transcript has 3 exons. Lineage: Eukaryota; Viridiplantae; Streptophyta; Magnoliopsida; Poales; Poaceae. The record is from RefSeq and is a predicted model, not a curated record.
ACACGCAAGGAAUUGUGCCUUUCUUAGUUUAGAGAAUGAAUGGCUGAUUUCCAUGUUUCAUAGGCCAAACUGACGAAGAGGGCAAACCUAUGCUCUGAUCAAAAGCCACAGAACGUCAAAUACUUGAAAUCGAGUCUCUGUUUCUCAAGCUGCUCCUCCUGUCCACUGUCAAGGCAGUGGUUACAGAACUUCACCCGAUGGGUUAGAUUGGUUUGUCUGCCGCUGCUUUUGUUUCUUGAUCUUGAUAGAGAAUUUCAUCAUGAAGAUUCCUGUACAGAUUGCCAGUGGUAGCACUAUUGAUGAUCACAGACCAAGGAGAUAUUCAUAAUUCUUCAGGGAGAUAGAAGGGUCAUAUAUUUUCAUGGUUGGGAUGGAUUCGGGGCAUCUGUUGUCCUUAGGUCCAUAGCAGAAGUGCUACCAUCUAGGGAAACCACUCCUGAACUAUGCUUGAUAGAAUAAUUCAUAUAGAUUGCUCAGAUUGGAAAAAUAGAAGAGGAUUGCAGAGGGCAAUCGCAGAGGAACUGGAGCUUGAAAGCUCAAUAAUGGCUAUUCUGGAUAACCAGGAUGAACAAGAUGAUUUUGAUGGAUCUGAUGAGAGAUCUAGGAAUGAGAUAACAAGUGUGUCAAGAGAGAUCAACAAUAUUCUGAAAAACAGCAGAUUUGUGUUGAUUUUUCAUAACGGUAGUGACAACGAGAUUGUUGACCUAUUCAACUUUGGUGUUCCUCCGAUUACAAGUUUUGGUGACAAUGUGAUGAUAUGGGCCUACAGAAGGAGGAUGUUGACAAUAAAAAAGUACGAAGAAGAUGAACUACUACAUGAACUGAGGUACACUCAUCUUUUCAUUUAUGAUAGGAUGGGGUUUCUAGCAACUGGAUAGUUGUAUGAACUACUGUGUAAAGAGGCUGACAUCAUAGUUGCUCGCAAUCCAUGCAUCCAGGGAGUUAAUCAAUUAAUGGUUGUCCAUUGUUGUUUGUACAAACUAUUCCUGCAAUGUAGUGUUUCCAAGAAUAAUUCUAAUUGGGUUGAUGUUGCUUCCAAUUAUUGGAUAUGUGAUGGAAUACUAGAAAAAGAUAUAACAUUGGAGACAAGUGCUGCAUUGCACCGAGAAAUAACCUGGAAAUGUGAUGAUAAUGUGCUCACAAAGUUCAAGGCACAUUUCAAGCUUUCUUUCCUCAUAGUGAAGGAAGAUGAUGUGUAUGAAGAUGGAUCAUACCGUUGGAUUUCAGUCACAUCGAGGGAUAGGGAAAUGCUUGGUAUGAAAACUUUACCUGCAGAGACAUCAUCAUUCUUCUUGGAAUUUGUAAUGUCCGAUCAGCAAACAAUGUUACCAAAUGGUUUGUUGGAACAUUCCAGCAACCUUGGUGCACUGACUCUCUAUUGUUGUGCCUUCAGUUUUGCAUCACCUCCUUUUCCUAAAAUGCCAUAACCUAAGAUUCAUUGGACUAGACCACUGUACAGAUGACAAAACAGGGGAAGGAGAGGAUCAUACUGAGUGGGUUUGUCUGCAUAGUUUGUGGGUAUUGGACCUAUGUUACACCCACUGGAAUGAAAUCUUAUCACCGGCAAAGAUGGAUCUCAUGCAUAACCUCAUGGAGCUAAGCAUAGAGGGGGUCUUGUGUUGGCAGUACACAACUUGCUUACAAGGGCGACUACGUAAUCUUCACAGGCUCAGGAUAAUCAAGCCUACACAUGGACCAGAUAUUUCAACAGACGCAAGCAACUCCUUCAUGGACAAGAUAAAGCUGGAAAUACUUGAUCUGUCUGGCAACAAUGAGAUGGAAAUUCUACCAAACAACCUGUCUAAGGCAAGUGGCCUUCAAGUGCUUAUUCUGGAUGGAUGCAAUGUUCUUAAAAAUGUCCUUGUGCCUGUUAGACUGUAUUUACAUGUGUAUAUUGUAAUGUUGUAUACCACCUCAUUAUAUAUAUAUGUGAUAGGCCACCCCUAGAGGGUU